This is a non-coding RNA of Acanthosepion pharaonis, 113 nucleotides long. The record is from the annotation of a GenBank genome assembly. NCBI's taxonomy places the organism in Eukaryota, Metazoa, Mollusca, Cephalopoda, Sepiida, Sepiidae.
UUACGGCCACAGCACGCUGAAACACCAGUUCACGUAAGAUCACCGAAGCUAAGCAACGUCGAGCCUGGUCAGUACCAAGAUGGGUGACCGCUUGGGUAUACCAGGUGCUAUAA